This 253-nucleotide ribosomal RNA is filed under the name uncultured bacterium. RNAcentral's name for it is "partial 16S ribosomal RNA". It matches the Rfam family "Bacterial small subunit ribosomal RNA", at positions 524 to 776 of the family's 1533-position model. The record is from RNAcentral.
UACGGAGGGUGCAAACGUUGCUCGGAAUCAUUGGGCGUAAAGCGCACGUAGGCGGCUCGUUAAGUCGGAUGUGAAAGCCCUGGGCUCAACCCAGGAAGUGCAUACGAAACUGGCGAGCUUGAAUAUGGAAGAGGGUCGCGGGAUUCCCGGUGUAGAGGUGAAAUUCGUAGAUAUCGGGAGGAACACCAGUGGCGAAGGCGGCGACCUGGGCCAAUAUUGACGCUGAGGUGCGAAAGCGUGGGGAGCAAACAGG